UACGGAGGAUGCGAGCGUUAUCCGGAUUUAUCGGGUUUAAAGGGUGCGUAGGCGGACUGUCAAGUCAGCGGUAAAAUUGAGAGGCUCAACCUCUUCCCGCCGUUGAAACUGGUGGUCUUGAGUGGAUGAGAAGUACGCGGAAUGCGUGGUGUAGCGGUGAAAUGCAUAGAUAUCACGCAGAACUCCGAUUGCGAAGGCAGCGUACCGGCAUCCAACUGACGCUGAGGCACGAAAGCGUGGGGAUCAAACAGG
Molecule: ribosomal RNA, 252 nt
Filed under: uncultured bacterium
Lineage: Bacteria
Description: partial 16S ribosomal RNA
Rfam family: Bacterial small subunit ribosomal RNA
Source: RNAcentral